Molecule: long non-coding RNA, 1498 nt
Organism: Triticum aestivum (bread wheat)
Lineage: Eukaryota; Viridiplantae; Streptophyta; Magnoliopsida; Poales; Poaceae
Exons: 7
Source: RefSeq, a predicted model, not a curated record
CUCUGUCCCUCAGCCGCCACCGCACAAAGCCACCUCUCCCUUGCGUGUGCGUGCUCAUCGCCGCCUUUCCUCCCCGCUCCCUAUCAUUGCCCCGACGCCUGCACCGGCUACCAUGGAUCCAUGGCCGAUGGGAUAGUACAGGGCAGGGAAGGACACCGCCAUCGACCCGUCACUUAGAUUGGUGGCACAUGGGUCGGGUCUAGGCAGAAGGCCGGCGCCUGCGGGGGGGAAGCAGCGGGAGAUUGUGCAGCAGGAGCAGCAGGAGCAACUGCAGACGCUGGUCAGCCCGACGCACCGCCUCAGCCCCGCCUCCUCUGCUGCAGCCCCCACGGCCGAGAGGGGCAGCUGCGCCAUAGCUGGCGACGAGUUUAGCGGCCGCCGCCUCCUCUCCUCUUCGAAUCCAGUGCCUAUGGGUUCUCCUCGGUUGGAUUGUUCAUCCUUCUUCGCCGGUGGUGUGCUUGUCUGUUGCAAUAACUUACGUGCGCUGGAUGAACACUAUCGGUUGAGGUUUGUUUCUUCUCGUUGUCUCCUGCGUCCACCGUCGCAUCGUUCUGCCAUUGCCAUUGAGUCCUUUGUCUAGCCUGCUUUCUUGGUAUGGUUCUGCUUUCUAGCUCUGCAGGUUCGACGAUCUGCUAGGUUGCUGCAUCUGCAACUCUGUGCUGCUAUUCAAGGAAGAUGCUAAAUAAGUUGGUUAGCUCUGGGGCAAAAGGUCAGCAAAUCUGCUUGGUUGUUCCUCCCAAGGUGAUGAGAGAUUUUUUGUUGCAGAGUACAUGCCUAGAAAGACAUAUCUUCCACUGUAUGUUAACUGCUUGUGAGCAGGCCAGUACUUUACAAAUUUUACUACAGUAGCAAGGACGCUAUGCUUUGAAUAGUUGAGACGCCCUCUGUUUUUCAUCCAUGGGCAGAGUAGAUGGAGGUGCAGCGGCUCAGGAUGUCAAGAUACAUUUAUCUUCCUGUGCGUAACUGAUGUCUAGCAUUGCUGAAAACACCUUUAUCAGAGCUGGUGUCCAUGCCUUCAUCAUAGCUGGUGUCCGCAUACUUCAUCAGAGAUCUUGUCCACGGCUUCAGCGGAGUUGCUGUCCACACUUCCAUCAGAGCUAAUGUUCACGGGAUCAUCCAUGCGAGCAAUGGCGGAGCUACGUGUUACAAAAAGAGGCCACGGCGUCUCGCCGGUAGCAAAUGAAGUGGAGGAUUGAGAGUAGGCUGAGCUGUGAGAGAGAAAAAUAAUGGAUUCCUUUCUACUGGCACGCCCACCUUUGUACUGGCACGCCCACCUUUGACAGUGUAGCUCCGCCACUGCAUGCGAGCUCCCCUCAUGCUCAGCUGUGGUGGAAGCCUAAAACAACAUAGAUUAUCAAUCAACACAGACUAAUCAAGUCACAUUACUGUGACGAUGUGUAAAUCUGCCAAAGGUUUUGAAUGGGACUUUACACCACCAAAUUAGAAUGUGUACAAGACCCCAUUUUUUCGACUAAAGGAGAUUAUGUUUAUUAUAAUA